This 2009-nucleotide long non-coding RNA is filed under the name Helianthus annuus (common sunflower). Lineage: Eukaryota; Viridiplantae; Streptophyta; Magnoliopsida; Asterales; Asteraceae. The record is from RNAcentral.
AUGUGUGUGUGGCGUGUUCUAGAGAGAGAAGGGGAAACAUCCUCUCCAGAAUUCAAGUCACAAAAUCAGUGAAUUGAAGGUAUAAUCCAAGCAAUUUCCUUGCAUGUUUGAAGAUUUUAACCCUCUAGCACCAUCUAAACCUUAGGUAUGCGAUGAAUUUGCGUGGGAGCUUGGAAAGGAAUGGGUCAAGUCGGUCAAGUGCGAGAGGAAGAUUGAAGGGACGCAAGGUAAGUAAAGCUUACACCUCCUAAAAUAAAACCAUAACUUAUGUGAUGAGAAACAUUUUGGGGAUAAAUGAGAAAUUGUAAAGAUGAGACCCAUGGUGAGAAUCGUGAGACAGGUCAAAUGGUAACUAAAUCGCACGUUGGUGAUUAAACAAAGAAUUUUGGAAAUAAGACCCUAAGGUGUAAAUCAUAACAGAUCAAAUAGGUAAAAUAAUAAGUAAGUGACACUUUAGUGAUUAAAUAAAUAACUUUGAAAAUAAGACCCUAUGGUGUAAACCAUAAUGGGUCAAUGGUUAAAUUGGUAAGUAACUCACAUGUUGGUGACUAAACAAAGAACUUUGGAAAUAAGACCAUAUGGGGUAAACCAUAACAGGUCAAAUGAGUAAAAUGGUAAGUAAAUCACAUGUUGGUGAUUAAACAAAGAAUUAUAGAGAUAAGACCCUAUGGUGUAACGGGUCAAAUGGGUAAAACUGGCAUUAAAUCACUUUUGUGACAAACAAUAUUUUGACAAGACGAGACCCUAUGGUAUAAACUAUAACGGGUCAAAUAGGUAAGAAUUGUGUUAAAACAUUUUUGGUGCAAACAAUAUUUUGAUAAGACGGGACGUUAUGGUAUAAACCAUAACAUUUCAAAUGGGUAAGAAUCGUGUUAAAUCACUUUUGUUGACAAACAAUAUUUUGAUAAGACGAGACCCUAUGGUAUAAACCAUAAUGGGUUAAAUGGGUAAGAAUGAUGUUGAAUCUCAUAUUAGUGAUAAACAAUAAAUUAUUAGGUUGAGAUGCCAAAAGGGUAACCAAGAAUGGAUCAAAUGGACAUGAGUAACCAAUGUAUUAUCACCAUUUGAACUUGGUAGUUAAUGCUUUGUCUUGUUAAGUUUCAUACUUACAUGUAAGCAUAAUGUAAAGGCAUGCAUUGCCAUGAACUGGCAAAGAGAAUCACAAGUUAUACUUUUGAAAAGGGCUUUACGACACGACUAAAUAUGGUUGAGCCAAAACUGGGUAAUUGUCCACCUCAAGUGUGGUUAUACUAGUAAUUGGGAUGACCCUUAGAGUCAAGAAUGUCUAUGAUGUAAAAAUAUGGCUAAAUGAUUUUAAAAUACAAGGCCAUUGAAAACCUUUAUGUCCUAAAGGACAAAUAAAUCUUAAUCAGAUGACGAGUUAAAUGUGCCCAAUAUAUUUCAUUUAAACUUGUAAACUUCUCCCAGUUUGGUAAAAGGCUUUAAAUUGACUAAAGUGCUCUCAGAUAAUGAGUUUAAGUAAUAUGCUUAUCCAAAAGAAAGUAUGGGGAAAACAUUGACAAAUAGUAUAGGAGCCUUGAGCUAGAACACUCUAUGCCUUCUUAACAGGUCGGUUGGGUAAAACGCUGAACCGAACAAAAGAAUUAGAAAUUUAAGAAACCGGGUCCCUAUUGUGAAUAUCAGGUUGAGGCUUAAAAGGAAAAGUUUGUGAAGUGCAUGCUUCAGCAAAGUGCACGCUACAGCAAAAGUGCACGCUUCAGCAGAGUGCACGCUACAACAGAGUGCACGCUUCCGUAAAGUGCACAUAUUUAGUCGUCGCAGCAAAAUACAUCUGAAGGCGUUUCUGUCGCGAUACCCGACGACCCCCAGUUAUACUUUCUUUUGUCAUUUUUAGAUCCGUUAACACAAAUGAAAUAUAAACACUAAUCGUUUUUGGUGAUUAUGACAGGUUAUAAAAAGGCGGGAAACCAAAUGAAAGACCAAGCACGCAAAGAACCGAACACUCCUAAACCACCAUCUCCCUGGAAACAUCUUUUUCAGGAAAGAUA